GAUGAACGCUGGCGGCGUGCCUAAUACAUGCAAGUCGAGCGAACAGACGAGGAGCUUACUCCUCUGACGUUAGCGGCGGACGGGUGAGUAACACGUGGAUAACCUACCUAUAAGACUGGGAUAACUUCGGGAAACCGGAGCUAAUACCGGAUAAUAUAUUGAACCGCAUGGUUCAAUAGUGAAAGACGGUUUUGCUGUCACUUAUAGAUGGAUCCGCGCCGCAUUAGCUAGUUGGUAAGGUAACGGCUUACCAAGGCAACGAUGCGUAGCCGACCUGAGAGGGUGUUCGGCCACACUGGAACGGAGACACGGUCCAGACUCCUACGGGAGGCAGCAGUAGGGAAUCUUCCGCAAUGGGCGAAAGCCUGACGGAGCAACGCCGUGUGAGUGAUGAAGGUCUUCGGAUCGUAAAACUCUGUUAUUAGGGAAGAACAAAUGUGUAAGUAACUAUGCACGUCUUGACGGUACCUAAUCAGAGAGCCACGGCUAACUACGUGCCAGCCGCCGCGGUAA
RNAcentral lists this ribosomal RNA (513 nucleotides) under uncultured bacterium. Its description in RNAcentral is "partial 16S ribosomal RNA". It matches the Rfam family "Bacterial small subunit ribosomal RNA", at positions 28 to 523 of the family's 1533-position model. The record is from RNAcentral.